Molecule: ribosomal RNA, 497 nt
Filed under: uncultured bacterium
Lineage: Bacteria
Description: partial 16S ribosomal RNA
Rfam family: Bacterial small subunit ribosomal RNA
Source: RNAcentral
GAUGAACGCUGGCGGCGUGCCUAAUACAUGCAAGUCGAGCGAACAGACGAGGAGCUUGCUCCUCUGACGUUAGCGGCGGACGGGUGAGUAACACGUGGAUAACCUACUUAUAAGACUGGGAUAACUUCGGGAAACCGGAGCUAAUACCGGAUAAUAUAUUGAACCGCAUGGUUCAAUAGUGAAAGACGGUUUUGCUGUCACUUAUAGAUGGAUCCGCGCCGCAUUAGUUAGUUGGUAAGGUAACGGCUUACCAAGGCAACGAUGCGUAGCCGACCUGAGAGGGUGAUCAGCCACACUGGAACUGAGACACGGUCCAGACUCCUACGGGAGGCAGCAGUAGGGAAUCUUCGGCAAUGGGCGAAAGCCUGACGGAGCCACGCCGCGUGAGUGAUGAAGGUCUUCGGAUCGUAAAACUCUGUUAUUAGGGAAGAACAAAUGUGUAAGUAACUAUGGACGUCUUGACGGUACCUAAUCAGAAAGCCACGGCUAACUACGUG